CAAAAUGCGAUACUUGGUGUGAAUUGCAGAAUCCCGUGAACCAUCGAGUUUUUGAACGCAAGUUGCGCCCGAAGCCAUUCGGUCGAGGGCACGUCUGCCUGGGCGUCACGC
This 111-nucleotide ribosomal RNA is filed under the name Brachyscome obovata. RNAcentral's name for it is "5.8S ribosomal RNA". It matches the Rfam family "5.8S ribosomal RNA", at positions 49 to 154 of the family's 154-position model. Rfam says of the family: 5.8S ribosomal RNA (5.8S rRNA) is a component of the large subunit of the eukaryotic ribosome. It is transcribed by RNA polymerase I as part of the 45S precursor that also contains 18S and 28S rRNA. RNAcentral also lists the same sequence under 1 other name. Lineage: Eukaryota; Viridiplantae; Streptophyta; Magnoliopsida; Asterales; Asteraceae. The record is from RNAcentral.